UUUGCCAUGGUAAGAUCCUCAGCUUCUGUCUUCGGCUUUAGAACAAAGCAGAAAUAACCAGCUCAUGACGACAUCAUAUGAGUCUUUUCAUCUUCACUUUAAUGUGCACUCUGCAAGGUCCCCCUUUAAUUCAACAUGAAAAGGAGGGAGGCCACACUGAGUCAUUAGUAGAGGAGAACUUGGGGGGUCAGUUCCAGCUGUGCUGCCUUGUCUGCCCUGAUGAACAUGGAAAUGGUCUUUGGAUUGGGAGCAACACAUAUCCCGUGGCACCAUUGAGGUUGAGGAAGGAGGAAGCCAUGGAGAAAACUCUUCACCCAGAAAAUGGAAGGUCACGGCCAGUGGCUCCCAGAGGGAGUCACUCCUCAAGAUUGAGAAGCGGGAAACCCUCUCUGCUGAAUACAUAGAAAACCUCUGGCCCGGUGCUCCUUCCAAUUUCACAAUUGCAUGAAAUUACCAAUAAAAAACCC
Molecule: long non-coding RNA, 467 nt
Organism: Bubalus bubalis (water buffalo)
Lineage: Eukaryota; Metazoa; Chordata; Mammalia; Artiodactyla; Bovidae
Exons: 2
Source: RefSeq, a predicted model, not a curated record